Molecule: ribosomal RNA, 515 nt
Filed under: uncultured bacterium
Lineage: Bacteria
Description: partial 16S ribosomal RNA
Rfam family: Bacterial small subunit ribosomal RNA
Source: RNAcentral
GAUGAACGCUGGCGGCGUGCCUAAUACAUGCAAGUCGAGCGAAUGGAUUGAGAGCUUGCUCUUAUGAAGUUAGCGGCGGACGGGUGAGUAACACGUGGGUAACCUGCCCAUAAGACUGGGAUAACUCCGGGAAACCGGGGCUAAUACCGGAUAACAUUUUGAACCGCAUGGUUCGAAAUUGAAAGGCGGCUUCGGCUGUCACUUAUGGAUGGACCCGCGUCGCAUUAGCUAGUUGGUGAGGUAACGGCUCACCAAGGCAACGAUGCGUAGCCGGCCUGAGAGGGUGAUCGGCCACACUGGGACUGAGACACGGCCCAGACUCCCACGGGAGGCAGCAGUAGGGAAUCUUCCGCAAUGGACGAAAGUCUGACGGAGCAACGCCGCGUGAGUGAUGAAGGCUUUCGGGUCGUAAAACUCUGUUGUUAGGGAAGAACAAGUGCUAGUUGAAUAAGCUGGCACCUUGACGGUACCUAACCAGAAAGCCACGGCUAACUACGUGCCAGCCGCCGCUGUAA